Non-coding RNA from Streptomyces scabiei 87.22, 69 nucleotides. It matches the Rfam family "ASpks TB sRNA". The record is from Rfam. NCBI's taxonomy places the organism in Bacteria, Bacillati, Actinomycetota, Actinomycetes, Kitasatosporales, Streptomycetaceae.
CUUCAACGACCCCAGCCACAGCGGCUCUUCACGGUCCUGGCCGUAGGUGGCCAGCACCGCCUGCGCCUC